UGACGUCAGCUUAGCCUAGCGAGCUGUUAUUAGUGGUCAUGGGCCUGUGCUUGUCAAGAAUGAAUUCCUCCAAGGUGCUGUGCUCCAUUUCGCAACACGCAGUAUCACUUAUCAUUCACAGUCUCCCUCUGUUAGUUUUGUCCAUUUGUCGGCUGAAAUGCUGAUGAUAGCAACUACAAAGUAGGCGGAAUGUGAGCAGCGAGCUGAGCUGCCAGUCAGCUUGUUACCUGCGAACAUG
Non-coding RNA from Pelobates cultripes (western spadefoot toad), 238 nucleotides. The record is from the annotation of a GenBank genome assembly. NCBI's taxonomy places the organism in Eukaryota, Metazoa, Chordata, Amphibia, Anura, Pelobatidae.